This is a long non-coding RNA of Cuculus canorus (common cuckoo), 505 nucleotides long. RefSeq lists it as uncharacterized. The transcript has 3 exons. NCBI's taxonomy places the organism in Eukaryota, Metazoa, Chordata, Aves, Cuculiformes, Cuculidae. The record is from RefSeq and is a predicted model, not a curated record.
GCUGCCUCUGUGAAAUGACUCGGUGGAUUCAGCCCAGCCCAGAAAGGCUCAGUCCCAGCCGCUGUGUCGGCCAGCUCGGUCAGGGACACAGACACCAGCUUUGCUUCAGGGACCAGGACCUUUGGGAGAAACUGAGGCAGUGAAGAGGGCUUCCUGGUCUAUCAUUAUACUCAACUGUUUUUUAAGAUCAAAACUGGUUUUUACAGUUAGAAAACUGGGCUUAAAACUCCAGGGAUUAAGCAGCAUCCCCAUCUACAAAUAUCAGAGUUCCUACCACUUAAUCAUGUCACAAGACGGACACAAGGACAGCUUAGUCUGAGAGAUCCAGAACUACACGUGAGAGUCAUGUAAGCUCCACUACACUUUCUUCUGUCAUUGUUGUCCUGGUCACAGGUCACAUAUGAAGAGUCAAACCCCAUUUUUGUCAGCUGACUGCCUUUUUUUGCUUCUUUUAUCCUUUUUUCCCCAUUAUUUUAAUGUUUAUCUUUCUCAGUGGAAAUGACUU